AACGAACGCUGGCGGCGUGCUUAACACAUGCAAGUCGAACGCGAAAGUUUUCUUCGGAAGACGAGUAGAGUGGCGCACGGGUGAGUAACGCGUAUGUAACCUACCCUGUACAGGGGGAUAACCCGGAGAAAUUCGGACUAAUAUCCCAUAGAAAUAUCGGAAGGCAUCUUUUUAUAUUUAAAGUUCCGGCGGUACGGGAUGGGCAUGCGUAACAUUAGCUAGUUGGUAAGGUAACGGCUUACCAAGGCUUUGAUGUUUAGGGGUCCUGAGAGGGUGAUCCCCCACACUGGUACUGAGACACGGACCAGACACCUACGGGUGGCAG
This 325-nucleotide ribosomal RNA is filed under the name uncultured Bacteroidota bacterium. RNAcentral's name for it is "bacterial SSU rRNA". It matches the Rfam family "Bacterial small subunit ribosomal RNA", at positions 29 to 351 of the family's 1533-position model. Lineage: Bacteria; Pseudomonadati; Bacteroidota. The record is from RNAcentral.